UACGGGAGGCAGCAGUGGGGAAUAUUGCACAAUGGGCGAAAGCCUGAUGCAGCUAUGCCGCGUGUAUGAAGAAGGCCUUAGGGUUGUAAAGUACUUUCAUCGGGGAGGAAAAACAAACUAAUAAUUUUAUUCUUGACGUUACCCGAAAAAGAAGCACCGGCUAACUCCGUGCCAGCAGCCGCGGUAAUACGGAGGGUGCGAGCGUUAAUCGGAAUUACUGGGCGUAAAGGGCACGCAGGCGGUUAAUUAAGUUGGAUGUGAAAUCCCCGGGCUUAACCUGGGAAUGGCAUUCAAGACUGGUUAGCUAGAGUCUUGUAGAGGGGGUAGAAUUCCAUGUGUAGCGGUGAAAUGCGUAGAGAUGUGGAGGAAUACCGGUGGCGAAGGCGGCCCCUGGACAAAGACUGACGCUCAUGUGCGAAAGCGUGGGGAGCAAACAGGGAUUAGAUACC
RNAcentral lists this ribosomal RNA (449 nucleotides) under uncultured bacterium. Its description in RNAcentral is "bacterial SSU rRNA". It matches the Rfam family "Bacterial small subunit ribosomal RNA", at positions 340 to 786 of the family's 1533-position model. The record is from RNAcentral.